CCCACAGAUGAUGAAUGCUUAUGAAAUCAUGCAUGAAAUCGUGUCAUGAAAUUGUAAAAUUGCUGGAGUGAGAAUACCUGAAAAAAGAAAUAAUAUAUGUCCAAGGCCUUAUACAUUUAAUCAAAACGCAGACCUGUCUCACUUGUAAGAAGAAAAAGUCGGAGGAUUUUAUUUUGUUGCUGUUUUUGCUAUUUGUAAAUUUCACUUCAAUUACUGGACCAUUAUGUGAGAAAUCAAAACCUUAACAUACUUAUUUUUCUUCCAACCUGAAUCUCGAAGAAAUACUCAUAUAUAAUUACAAUCACUAAAUAUCAACGAUACUUUGAUAAAUAAAAAAAAUAUCACAUAUUUUCUAAUAUAAAAUUUAAAAAAUAAAACAUGGAAACGAUUAGAAAUUACUUCAAAAAGAAACCAAAAGAUCCAAAUGGUAUUGACGGCAAAUAUACCAUUCCUGAAGAGCUUAGGAGACAAUUUUCAGACUAUAACACAGAUUCUACGGAAACGCAUCGUGUACGAACAAUUUCAAUUUCUAGGUCCGGUAGAUUCAAACCAAAACGAGAUCGCGGUGCCAUUUCACAGAGACCGGAUAUAUUCCAACAGCCAACCAGCGAAAAGAAAGAGGAAGUGGCAUCCAGAGAAGAAAGGAAACAUGAUAGCCCUCGAACAACUCGGUCAUCGAAUAAUAACUACCGGUAACAAACUAUCGCUAAAAUAAGCUGGUUAUCCGUUUAAGCUAUAACUUUCUGGACUCGAGAAGCCAUGUAAUACGGCGUUUACAAAUUCGCGCCGUAUUGCAAAAAAAAAUGUAUAUCUAACAGAGAAAAAAAAUUGAAAAUGAAAAAUAAAGAGUUACAUCCAAGAAUACAUCGUAUAUGGACAAAUGUAUAUACAUUUGUGAGCACAGCGAUUAUCACUAAAUUCUUUGAAGACGCUUUUAUAACAAAUUGUUCUUGGAUGUGCGGGAGGGAUAAGAAAAAAGUACCAGACAUAAACUGGAAUAGAUUCAAAACGUUCAGUCGGUCACACUCUUCCUCUACAUAUUCGUCGGCUUUGCACCAAUGUAAAAAAAAAAAAGUCGAAGUGUUUUAAAAUUUAGUAUUGUUUUAAUUCAACAGCAUUUUAGUAAAUGACAUUGUUAAAAUAAGAUUUAAACAUGUAAUUAUAAAUAUGCAUGAUUCAUGCAUAUAAUGUAUGUAUAACUUGUGUGCGGAUAUAUAUGUGUGUGUGUGUGUGUGUGUGUUUGUGUGUGUGCGUGUGUACGAUAGCCCUUCCAAGACACGUCAUGUUUGUUUCUCUUUAGAGUUGGUACGGACCACACGAAUUCGUUCUCGCACGAAUUCUGAAGAGCAAGAGACACGACUGGUCUUACAAAAGACAUCAUCAUUAUAAAUAUCCUUACUUUAUGUCUUGAAUACUUUGCCUCAAAUUGCGGUUUCUUCAUUGUUUUAAACGUAAUUAUGCAACUAUGUGUAUGUGCAUGAGUAUAUGUGUGUGUACGUGCGUGCGUGCGUGCGUGCGUGUGUGCGUGUGAGAGAGAAAGUAGGGAGCGCAGUUUGAUUGUUUUAGGAGAUUGUUUUACAGCCAAAAGAUUCUGGUAUCGAUUCCACUGUGUGCCAUCUUGGGUAAAUGUCAUUUUCUGUAGCCAUUGUAAAUGGAACUGGACAGCAUGAAAACUACAUAAAAGCUCGUGACAGAUCGUACCUAUAGGACAAAAUGCAUGACCUUACUGCACAUCGUGUCCCGCUGAUUCUAGCUACGUUAAGGGUAUAGGUGCAGGCAAUUCACUUGAUCGAACUGAGUCCUCAUCGGCGAACUAAGACCACUGAUGCGGU
Molecule: long non-coding RNA, 1832 nt
Organism: Octopus sinensis (East Asian common octopus)
Lineage: Eukaryota; Metazoa; Mollusca; Cephalopoda; Octopoda; Octopodidae
Exons: 3
Source: RefSeq, a predicted model, not a curated record